UACGUAGGGGGCAAGCGUUGUCCGGAUUUAUUGGGCGUAAAGAGCGUGUAGGCGGCCAGAUAGGUCCGUUGUGAAAACUCGAGGCUCAACCUCGAGACGCCGAUGGAAACCAUCUGGCUAGAGUCCGGAAGAGGAGAGUGGAAUUCCUGGUGUAGCGGUGAAAUGCGCAGAUAUCAGGAAGAACACCCGUGGCUAAGGCGGCUCUCUGGGACGGUACUGACACUG
This 225-nucleotide ribosomal RNA is filed under the name uncultured bacterium. RNAcentral describes it as "partial 16S ribosomal RNA". It matches the Rfam family "Bacterial small subunit ribosomal RNA", at positions 524 to 748 of the family's 1533-position model. The record is from RNAcentral.